CGGCGGCAGCGGGAGCGGCUGGACCAGCAGCCGGAGCCCUGUGUCCUGCAGAAAGGAACAUGGAAGUGCCGGGGAGUGCGUGGGGGGCGUGGGGGGGGGAGGGGGUGGGAUGAUGGGACCCGUCUGAACAUGGUGCGGCGGUCCCGGGAGUCUCUUGGCAGGGACAGGCUCACCCUGCUCCCAGCUCCUCCUCCAGCUCCUGCGCCAUUCGUCAGUGCAAUGAGUACCUGGUGCUCAGCCUGGCCCCCCAGGGCACAUACCGCUGGUCCCAGUGGGCUCAGUAAUGCCCACUGCUCCCAAGGGCAUUCCUGCAGGAAUCACGGCUGCGCCAGCCAGCCACAGGCUCACCAGCACUGCUCUGCCUGGUGCAGGCACCAGAGACAGUGGAAGGCUGUUCCUGGAGCUGCCGUGGAAGAAGGAAAGGGUCUUGGCUACAGGGAUUUUGAAUCAAGCAAAUCCCGGGGUGCACUGCCAUGCAGAAACACAUGCAGAGAAGCAGCCUUGGAUCAGGGCUUGGAGCCAUAGCAGGGGAAAACAAGCAGCGGCAGAGCGUUGGGCCGAGCCGUGCCGUGCUGGACCGGGCGGAGCCGGGCCAUGGUCCCCUGGGCGGUGGCAUCCCCAGCCUAGCGCGGCGGCGGCGGCGGCUGGGGGAUGCGGCGGGAGCCGCCAGAGUGGCUGGCGCAGAGCAGCCCUGGGAUGGAGCCACCACAGGCCCCUCGGCAACCUCAGCCCACCCACCCCCUCACUGCUGCUGCUGGACCAGGGUGGGCUACCGUCCUCUGAGGCUGUGUGACAGGGAACUGGCG
RNAcentral lists this long non-coding RNA (806 nucleotides) under Chloebia gouldiae (Gouldian finch). Its description in RNAcentral is "Erythrura gouldiae (Gouldian finch) lncRNA (ENSEGOG00005008986.1)". The record is from RNAcentral. Lineage: Eukaryota; Metazoa; Chordata; Aves; Passeriformes; Passeridae.